AUGCCCAGGAGGUUCGGUUCCUCCUCCCACUCCUCCUCCCGUUCUUCUUCCCACUCCUCCGGCUCGCCGACGUUGCUCGGCGUCAAGGCCGAGCCCGCAGCGGAGACGCCGCUCGGCCGGCGCACUUGCAGCGCCGACAUCGUCAUAAACGAGGGCGGUCGGCGCGCCUCCUCGUCGGCUCCUCCGCUUUUUGUCAAACCAAAGAUGGAGCCGGGGCUCGCGGCCGUGAAAACGGAGGCAGGGCUCCCUGCCGUGAAGACGGAGCAUGGCGUGGAGCUCAACAAGGAGGUGGCCCUGAAAUGGGCGCGCGACAACUAUCUCAAGGUGGAGAUGGAGCGCCAGUGCGCCGCCGGGGCCGCGACUAAGGAGGCGUCCUCGUCCUCGACGACAGCGACGUCGACGACGCGCCGCCACCGCCACCGGUCCGCCAUGGCGACGCCGGGCAGAGGUCCAGAAGGGGCGGCCGCGUUAAGGAGGAGAAGGCUGCCGCCGCCGCCGCCGCCGACGAGGAUGGCAGCGACUACUUCGCGUUCAGCGACUUCUUUGCCCCUUAGUUUCGGCCUUUCUUUUAGAUAA
This 576-nucleotide ribosomal RNA is filed under the name Triticum aestivum (bread wheat). RNAcentral's name for it is "partial small subunit ribosomal RNA". Lineage: Eukaryota; Viridiplantae; Streptophyta; Magnoliopsida; Poales; Poaceae. The record is from RNAcentral.